GAAAGAUGAUUUAUUACAAGGUUAAUUAAAAUGGUUUCUGGUCUGAAAAGAUUGUACUAUACUCUAGACCUGUGGUACAUAUGUGAUUUGGAAUAAACUUUCAAACCAUGCUAGCAAUUUAGACAUAACUGAAGAAGCAUAAAGAAAAUAUGAACGAUGAAUGAAUGAAAAACAAAAGUUUUUUUUUUUAAAGCUAUUCCAUGACUAUGUUAUAGUCAAGAAUUAACAUGACUAUGUUAUCAGCAUAUCUAAAAAGAUGAAAGCAUAUAGAUUUUAGACAUCAAGUGAUGAAUAGAACUUAUUCUAAAAGCAUUAUUAUUACAUUUAUAU
This 330-nucleotide long non-coding RNA is filed under the name Brassica napus (rape). RNAcentral's name for it is "long non-coding RNA (BNAP_LNC009963)". Lineage: Eukaryota; Viridiplantae; Streptophyta; Magnoliopsida; Brassicales; Brassicaceae. The record is from RNAcentral.